GGACUACCCGGGUUUCUAAUCCUGUUUGCUCCCCACGCUUUCGUGCCUGAACGUCGGUACUGGACCAGGAAGCCGCCUUCGCCACUGAUGUUCCUUCAGAUAUCUACGCAUUUCACUGCUACACCUGAAAUUCCGCUUCCCUCUUCCGUACCCUAGCUAUUCAGUCUCGAAUGCAAUUCCCAGGUUGAGCCCGGGGAUUUCACAUCCGACUUAGAUAACCGUCUGCGCACGCUUUACGCCCAGUAAUUCCGAUUAACGCUUGCACCCUCUGUAUUACCGCGGCUGCUGGCAC
This 292-nucleotide ribosomal RNA is filed under the name uncultured bacterium. RNAcentral's name for it is "partial 16S ribosomal RNA". RNAcentral also lists the same sequence under 1 other name. The record is from RNAcentral.